Molecule: microRNA precursor, 76 nt
Filed under: Myotis davidii
Lineage: Eukaryota; Metazoa; Chordata; Mammalia; Chiroptera; Vespertilionidae
Description: mir-9229 microRNA precursor family
Rfam family: mir-9229 microRNA precursor family
Source: Rfam by way of RNAcentral
GAGACACCCUUCAGGGGCAGGACUUGCUUCAAUGGGGCUUUGUUGCUCACUGAGUCUACCCCUUGAGUGUGUCGCU